Molecule: long non-coding RNA, 502 nt
Organism: Ictalurus punctatus (channel catfish)
Lineage: Eukaryota; Metazoa; Chordata; Actinopteri; Siluriformes; Ictaluridae
Source: Ensembl
GAUGUGUGUCGGUGUCGAUGGGAUGUGUGUCGGUGUCGAUGGGAUGAGUGUCGGUGUCGAUGGGAUGAGUGUCGGUGUCGAUGGGAUGUGUGUCGGUGUUGGUGUUGAGUGUCGGUGUCGGUGUUGGUUGUCGGUGUUGGUGUUGAGUGUCGGUGUUGGUGUUGAGUGUCGGUGUUGGUGUUUGAUGAGUGUCAGUGUUGAUGGGAUGAGUGUCGGUGUCGAUGGGAUGAGUGUCGUUGUUGGUGGGAUGAGUGUCGGUGUUGAUGGGAUGUGUGUUUGGUGUUGAGUGUCGGUGUUGAUGAGUGUUGGUAUUGAUGGGAUGUGUGUCAGUGUUGGUGUUGAUGUUGAGUGUUGGUGUUGAUGGGAUGUGUGUCGGUGUUGAUGUGUGUCGGUGUUGAUGGGAUGUGUGUCGGUGUUGAUGGGAUGAGUGUCGGUGUUGAUGGGAUGUGGUGUCGGUAUUGAUGGGAUGUGUGUCGGUGUUGGUGUUGAGUGUCGGUGUUGA